Manis pentadactyla (Chinese pangolin) is the source of this 2954-nucleotide long non-coding RNA. RefSeq lists it as uncharacterized. The record is from RefSeq and is a predicted model, not a curated record. NCBI's taxonomy places the organism in Eukaryota, Metazoa, Chordata, Mammalia, Pholidota, Manidae. The transcript has 3 exons.
CUGUCUCCGGAACCGGCCUCCUGCGAGUCCUAAUUUCAUCCUGAAGGCAGCGUCGGCUUCUGUCUGAAAGUCACAGAUGGGUACAAAGGGUAGCCGAUUUUCUCCCAUCAGCUCACACGUGGGAGUUUGCGCCAAGCUCAAGAGACAGUAGUGCUACUCCAGAAGAAAUAAAUAUCAAACGGCCUGCCGUUGAGUUCCAGUCCCACACCUUGGGGCCGGAGGCUCCUCCUGGCCGAGGGAGUAAUUUUUUAGUGAUAACAGGGAUGGGCGGAAGUAUCGUUAAGUCUUCAGUGACAAAUUGCACCGUAUUAUUAGUCUUGCUGAACUUUUCACUGUGCGCUUCACGUGGUGACAAAUGCAUUUCCUAGACUCAGCUUUUGGCCAGAGAGCAGUGAAGUCACAGGAUUAAGCCCAAAAGUCCGAAUCCCUGUCGUUUCCAGUUCUCCCUCUUUCUUUUGCUUUUCUGCAGCCUCAGGGAGUUAAUACUUGGCUGAAGGUUACUGAAAGCUGCUUUCAUCAGCUGCUCUUGUGAAGGAAGAAGGCCUUUCAUGAGCAGAAUAUUACAGGGGAGAGGGAUUCUCUUCAAAUUAAAAUUUUCUGAUGUAUUUGAUAAUCUUUGGUCAGCUUUACAUUUUGACACAUAUUUACUGUUUCUUUACCUCCCUUUUAAAGCAAUAGAUGAGAUAAUAAAUUAUCAGUAUAAAAUUACUCUGAAACUUAGCACAAGCUAGGGCUUUAAGGGAAAUUUGGCCAAUAAAGGUUGACUUAAGAGGAAACACGUUACCUGACAAUAAUAUGGUUUUGAAUUUAUGUAGUACCUACUAUGAUCAGUACAUUCAGACUACUCCUGAUUCUAACAAAUAUGUUUAAGUGUGCAAUUUGGGGAGUUAACUGUCUCAUAAUUUAGUAUUUUAAUCAUAUAAGCUUAAUAGUGAAAUAAUUUUCUCUAGAAAUUCUCCCUUGUUAACUACUCUGUAUUUAACAUUCAUUAUCUACUAGGUAGAGCUCUUAUAAUUGUACUCCUGACUUUACCUCAUGUUCUCAAAUUCUUAGGCCAGCAUUUCCAGCUUUUCUGUUUUAAUGGGAUAACUGACAUGUCCUGUAGUGGAAUUUAUUACUGUUCCUUGCAGUGAAGGAGCACACACACCAGAGAACCAUGGGGUGUCUUCUAUUUCUUUAGGUACACUAUUCAUUAUUGCUGUCAAAACCAAGGUCUUCUACAGCUAUGCAGCCUCAAGGAAACAUUCUUGGGCUUUCCUUCUCUCAGGAAGUUAAACGAGCUAGUAAUAACCAGGGUUCCCAUGGAAAAAAGAGAAACUUUUUAAAAAUCUCAAUAGAAAAAUAUUAAUAAAGGUUAUACCAAUCUAGCUUUCAGCUAAUUUUCAACAAUCCUUCUCACUUCACAAGAGUGAAGUCAUUUUUCUUACCUGUCAUGAUUGUUUAUAGAGAAUCUAUCUCAACACAUCAGAACAUUCAAAUGUGGCUUACUGAAGUAUAUAUCUUAAAGACAAAAGUGCUCACAGGAAAGGGGAGUUUGCAGAAGUAGCCAAGUCUUAAGCUCGAACUUCCAGUUCGUAGGAAACACUGACUUGACUUGAAGGACAAGUUAAAUGGCAUCGUAACCUCAAAUGAAAACUCAAUGCAAUGUCACAAAAAAAAGGAACAGCAAUUGCAGGGCUGUUUGGGAUUACGGGAGAUUUAAACAAUAUGACCACUGAAAUUCCAUGUGUGAUCCUGAAUCGGAUCCUGGUUUGAAGAAACCAAUUAAGACAUUUAAGGAAGAAUUGGGGAAAUUUGAAUUGGUAUUUGAAGAUAUUAGGGAAUUGUGAAUUUUGUUAGGUGUGAGGAUAGUAAAUGAUUAAGUAAAAUAAUAUUUUUUAAAGCUGCCAAGUAUGGAAAGGCAGUGUAAUAUUUGUAAUUUAUUUCUUAACACCAAGUAAGUUACUGAAACCGGGUAAUGUGUGGAUGUUGGUGUCAGUUACCCAUUUAUUGCCUCUCAGCAACAAAUUCACCCUUCAUCGCCACACUUUCUGGUAUUAGAGAUGGGCCUAUAAACUUUCUCGUUUUCUAGUGGGUACUGUGCUAAGCUUUGUCAGUAGGGUACUGGAAGGACAGACAGUACAGGAGGAAGCGGCUUUUGUUUAUAAUGUGCUUCUAUGGUAUAGCUGCCAGAGGUGCUCUUAGACACUGUGAUGGUCAAUUUUGUGUCACCUUGGCUGGGCCACAGGGUGCCUAGUCAACAUGACAUGAGAUGCUUCUGUGAAGCUAUUUCUGGAUAAUAACAUUCAAAUCAAUGAACUUUGAGUUAAACAGAAUGCUCUCCAUAAUGUGGAUGAACCUCAUCCAAUCAAGCCUGAAAAUUGGCAGGAAAGAGUAGUCUCCCCUGAGCUAGAGAAUUCUCCAGCAAACUGCGUUGGGUCGGAACUGCAGGAUUGGCUCUCCUGGCUCUCCAUCCUGGGGCUGCACACUUUGGACUUGACUGCUUCCAGAAUCAUGUGACACAGUUUUCAUAAUCUCUUUCUAUAUACACCAACAUCCUAUUUGCUCUGUUUCUCUGGAGAAUCCUGGCAAGUGCAGACACAAACUGAUGCUAUCCUCCAACAACUUUUGCUGACACCCUGGGGGGAGGCUUCUUGUUUACCAUUCCCUGCGUGUUUGAAGUCUCUAUUUGCAAGGGCUGAUCCACCACCAUCAGACCAGCUCUAAGUCCAGAGCAUCCCAGGGAACUUUCUUGUUACCAAGUGGGCCAAAGCCCCACCCUCUCCAAUAGGCCUGACUCUCCACUUGGGGGAAGGGAAGCCCCUCCCAGGAAUGUUCUUUCCUUGGGUAUUCUCUCAGUCCUAGUGUAUUAGACUUCUCUUUUAUCCCCUAAUAGCUAAUCCCAUUUUCAGUUAAAAAAUUUAUAUCAGAAUCAUCCCUAUAAUGCCUGGACCUUGACUAAUACAGUCAGUAUU